AUUGAACGCUAGCGGGAUGCUUUACACAUGCAAGUCGAACGGCAGCGCGGACUUCGGUCUGGCGGCGAGUGGCGAACGGGUGAGUAAUGUAUCGGAACGUGCCCAGUAGCGGGGGAUAACUAUGCGAAAGCGUAGCUAAUACCGCAUACGCCCUACGGGGGAAAGCAGGGGAUCGUAAGACCUUGCACUAUUGGAGCGGCCGAUAUCGGAUUAGCUAGUUGGUGAGGUAACGGCUCACCAAGGCGACGAUCCGUAGCUGGUUUGAGAGGACGACCAGCCACACUGGGACUGAGACACGGCCCAGACUCCUACGGGAGGCAGCAGUGGGGAAUUUUGGACAAUGGGGGCAACCCUGAUCCAGCCAUCCCGCGUGUGCGAUGAAGGCCUUCGGGUUGUAAAGCACUUUUGGCAGGAAAGAAACGUCGCGGGCUAAUACCCCGUGGAACUGACGGUACCUGCAGAAUAAGCACCGGCUAACUACGUG
Molecule: ribosomal RNA, 484 nt
Filed under: uncultured bacterium
Lineage: Bacteria
Description: partial 16S ribosomal RNA
Rfam family: Bacterial small subunit ribosomal RNA
Source: RNAcentral